Molecule: ribosomal RNA, 468 nt
Filed under: uncultured bacterium
Lineage: Bacteria
Description: partial 16S ribosomal RNA
Rfam family: Bacterial small subunit ribosomal RNA
Source: RNAcentral
AACGAACGCUGGCGGCAGGCUUAACACAUGCAAGUCGAGCGGGGACUCCCUGCCUUUCGGCGGUGCUCGGAGUACGGACGGGGAAUUAACACUUCUCUACCCUACCCUUCAGUGUAAGUUAGCGUCAUAAAACUUACGCUAAUACCGGGUAGGAGCUCCUGGUGCAUGGUCAGCGUGCGUUGGUUUCGGCGGUUGGGGAUGGACUCGCGUACUAUCAGCUUGUUCGUGGGGUAGUUGCUUAGCAAGACUUUGCCGGGUAGCCGGCCUGCGAGGGUGAGCGGACAAACUGGGACUGAGAUACGGCCCAGACUACUACCGGAGGCAGCAGUGGGGAGGAUUGCAUAAUGGGCGGAAGCCUGAUGCAGUAACGCCGCGUGGGGGAUGACGGGAUUCGGGUAGUAAACUACAUUCGCUUGUGACGAAGAGUGAGUGACGGUAAUGGGUAAAGAAGCACCGGCUAACUACGUG